Molecule: long non-coding RNA, 301 nt
Filed under: Pan troglodytes (chimpanzee)
Lineage: Eukaryota; Metazoa; Chordata; Mammalia; Primates; Hominidae
Description: long non-coding RNA NONPTRT014806
Source: RNAcentral
CUUAGAGACCAGCAUGCUGAUGAUGUCAAAGAAGACUUUGAAGAGAGAACAGAAAGUGAAAUGAGAACAUCACAUGAAGCCAGAGGUGCCCGGGAAGAACCCACCGUCCAGCAGGCACAGCGUCGGUCAGCUGUCUUUCUGUCCUUUAAGUCCCCAAUUCCAUGUCUGCCCUUGCGCUGGGAGCAGCAAAGCAAACUUCUUCCAACUGUCGCAGGAAUCCCUGCCAGUAAAGUUUCCAAAUGGAGCACAGACGAGGUGUCAGAAUUUAUACAGAGCUUACCUGGGUGUGAAGAACAUGGAA